RNAcentral lists this ribosomal RNA (496 nucleotides) under uncultured bacterium. RNAcentral's name for it is "partial 16S ribosomal RNA". It matches the Rfam family "Bacterial small subunit ribosomal RNA", at positions 29 to 507 of the family's 1533-position model. The record is from RNAcentral.
AUGAACGCUGGCGGCGUGCCUAAUACAUGCAAGUCGAGCGAACAGACGAGGAGCUUGCUCCUCUGACGUUAGCGGCGGACGGGUGAGUAACACGUGGAUAACCUACCUAUAAGACUGGGAUAACUUCGGGAAACCGGAGCUAAUACCGGAUAAUAUAUUGAACCGCAUGGUUCAAUAGUGAAAGACGGUUUUGCUGUCACUUAUAGAUGGAUCCGCGCCGCAUUAGCUAGUUGGUAAGGUAACGGCUUACCAAGGCAACGAUGCGUAGCCGACCUGAGAGGGUGAUCGGCCACACUGGAACUGAGACACGGUCCAGACUCCUACGGGAGGCAGCAGUAGGGAAUCUUCCGCAAUGGGCGAAAGCCUGACGGAGCAACGCCGCGUGAGUGAUGAAGGUCUUCGGAUCGUAAAACUCUGUUAUUAGGGAAGAACAAAUGUGUAAGUAACUAUGCACGUAUUGACGGUACCUAAUCAGAAAGCCACGGCUAACUACGUG